This 24-nucleotide microRNA is filed under the name Homo sapiens (human). Its description in RNAcentral is "hsa-miR-8060". The record is from miRBase by way of RNAcentral. Lineage: Eukaryota; Metazoa; Chordata; Mammalia; Primates; Hominidae.
CCAUGAAGCAGUGGGUAGGAGGAC